Molecule: ribosomal RNA, 440 nt
Filed under: uncultured bacterium
Lineage: Bacteria
Description: partial 16S ribosomal RNA
Rfam family: Bacterial small subunit ribosomal RNA
Source: RNAcentral
CCUACGGGAUGCAGCAGUGGGGAAUAUUGCACAAUGGGCGAAAGCCUGAUGCAGCAACGCCGCGUGAGCGAUGAAGGCCUUCGGGUCGUAAAGCCCUGUCAGCAGGGAAGAAAAUGACGGUACCUGAAGCAGAAGCCCCGGCUAACUACGUGCCAGCAGCCGCGGUAAUACGUCGGGGGCAAGCGUUAUCCGGAUUUACUGGGUGUAAAGGGGGCGCAGACGGCGAUGCAAGCCAGGAGUGAACGCCCGGGGCCCAACCCCGGGACUGCUCUUGGAACUGCGUGGAUAGAGUGCAGGAGGGGCAGGCGGAAUGCCUGGUGUAGCGGUGAAAUGCGUAGAUAUCAGAAGGAACACCGGUGGCGAAGGCGGCCUGCUGGACUGCAACUGACGUUGAGGCCCGAAAGCGUGGGGAGCAAACAGGAUUAGAUACCCCAGUAGUC